GGACUCGUCCAUCCUUGGGUGGAAUCUGUGUGGCAUUAAGUUGUCGUGCAGGGGAUGCCCAUCGUUUACUGUGAAAAAAUUAGAGUGUUCAAAGCAGGCUUAUGCCGUUGAAUAUAUUAGCAUGGAAUAAUGAGAUAGGACCUUGGUACUAUUUUGUUGGUUUGCGCACCGAGGUAAUGAUUAAUAGGGACAGUUGGGGGUAUUCGUAUUCCAUUGUCAGAGGUGAAAUUCUUGGAUUUUUGGAAGACGAACUACUGCGAAAGCAUUUACCAAGGAUGUUUUCAUUAAUCAAGAACGAAAGUUAGGGGAUC
Molecule: ribosomal RNA, 311 nt
Filed under: Fragilariales sp. RCC5586
Lineage: Eukaryota; Bacillariophyta; Fragilariophyceae; Fragilariales
Description: SSU rRNA
Rfam family: Eukaryotic small subunit ribosomal RNA
Source: RNAcentral